Molecule: small nucleolar RNA, 138 nt
Organism: Otolemur garnettii (small-eared galago)
Lineage: Eukaryota; Metazoa; Chordata; Mammalia; Primates; Galagidae
Gene: U8
Rfam family: U8 small nucleolar RNA
About the family: U8 is a member of the C/D class of snoRNA which contain the C (UGAUGA) and D (CUGA) box motifs. U8 is the RNA component of a small complex (the U8 snoRNP) which is required for accumulation of mature large subunit ribosomal RNAs, 5.8S and 28S rRNAs.
Source: Ensembl
UUGUGAGAGGCAGGAUAAUCCUCGCCUGCUUCUGCUUUGGGAGGGCAGAUUGGAACACGCUGAUUAGAACUCACCUGGAAUAGGAUCGCUGUCUCUGCAUAAUCAGGAUUUGCGGCACCCUGAUUGCUCCCAUCUGAU